RNAcentral lists this unclassified non-coding RNA (380 nucleotides) under uncultured bacterium. RNAcentral describes it as "contains 16S-23S intergenic spacer region". The record is from RNAcentral.
UCGCGGCUUAUCACCGGCAGUCCCCUUAGAGUGCCCAACUGAAUGAUGGCAACUAAGGGCGAGGGUUGCGCUCGUUGCGGGACUUAACCCAACAUCUCACGACACGAGCUGACGACAGCCAUGCAGCACCUGUGUUACGGUUCCCUUUCGGGCACUCUCCCAUCUCUGGAGGCUUCCUGGCAUGUCAAGGGUAGGUAAGGUUCUUCGCGUUGCGUCGAAUUAAACCACAUGCUCCACCGCUUGUGCGGGUCCCCGUCAAUUCCUUUGAGUUUUAGCCUUGCGGCCGUACUCCCCAGGCGGGGCACUUAAUGCGUUAGCUCCGGCACGGGAGGAGUCGACACCUCCCACACCUAGUGCCCAUCGUUUACGGCGUGGACUAC